This 450-nucleotide ribosomal RNA is filed under the name uncultured Glomus. RNAcentral describes it as "SSU rRNA". It matches the Rfam family "Eukaryotic small subunit ribosomal RNA", at positions 569 to 1023 of the family's 1831-position model. The record is from RNAcentral. Lineage: Eukaryota; Fungi; Glomeromycota; Glomeromycetes; Glomerales; Glomeraceae.
AGCAGCCGCGGUAAUUCCAGCUCCAAUAGCGUAUAUUAAAGUUGUUGCAGUUAAAAAGCUCGUAGUUGAAUUUCGGGGUUAGUAGGUUGGUCAUGCCUCUGGUAUGUACUGGUCUCACUGAUUCCUCCUUCCUGAUGAAUCUUAAUGCCAUUAAUUUGGUGUUUUGGGGGAUUUGGACUGUUACUUUGAAAAAAUUAGAGUGUUUAAAGCAAGCUAACGCUUGAAUACAUUAGCAUGGAAUAAUGAAAUAGGACGUUCGAUACUAUUUUGUUGGUUUCUAGGAUUGACGUAGUGAUUAAUAGGGAUAGUUGGGGGCAUUAGUAUCCAAUUGUCAGAGGUGAAAUUCUUGGAUUUAUUGAAGACUAACUACUGCGAAAGCAUUUGCCAAGGAUGUUUUCAUUAAUCAAGAACGAAAGUUAGGGGAUCGAAGACGAUCAGAUACCGUCGUAG